GGGCCCCUAGCUCAUCUGGUAGAGCACCUCAUUUGCAAUGAGGGGGUAAGGAGUUCGAGUCUCCUGGGGUCCACCU
This 76-nucleotide transfer RNA is filed under the name Candidatus Nomurabacteria bacterium RIFCSPHIGHO2_01_FULL_39_220. RNAcentral describes it as "tRNA-Ala". It matches the Rfam family "tRNA". Rfam says of the family: Transfer RNA (tRNA) molecules are approximately 80 nucleotides in length. Their secondary structure includes four short double-helical elements and three loops (D, anti-codon, and T loops). RNAcentral also lists the same sequence under 6 other names. The record is from RNAcentral. Lineage: Bacteria; Candidatus Nomuraibacteriota.